AGGGGUGUGGCUCAGUGGUAGAGCUCUUGCUUGUCUAGCCUGCAUGAGGCCCUGGGUUCAAUUCUCAGCACUGCCA
RNAcentral lists this transfer RNA (76 nucleotides) under Heterocephalus glaber (naked mole-rat). It matches the Rfam family "tRNA". Rfam says of the family: Transfer RNA (tRNA) molecules are approximately 80 nucleotides in length. The record is from Rfam by way of RNAcentral. Lineage: Eukaryota; Metazoa; Chordata; Mammalia; Rodentia; Bathyergidae.